Long non-coding RNA from Bufo gargarizans (Asiatic toad), 1160 nucleotides. RefSeq lists it as uncharacterized. The transcript has 4 exons. NCBI's taxonomy places the organism in Eukaryota, Metazoa, Chordata, Amphibia, Anura, Bufonidae. The record is from RefSeq and is a predicted model, not a curated record.
GCAGGCCUAGCGUCCCAGAAACAGGAGGCUCAUCAGGCUACUUUCACACUUGCGGCAGAGUGAUCCGGCAAGCAUGCUGCAGUAUUUCAGCAGGACCUGCGCUGACGUCACCGCGCUCAGCACAUGGUCAUCACAGGUCUUCUGUCCAGAAAGAAGAAGACGAUGCUGGCUGCGCGAACAAGUGGAUGAGAUGAGCUCUAAUUCUGGUUUUACGCUGGAGAAGACGUCUUAGAGCCAGACGGCGUAGAAAGCUUCGCUAUUGGGUGCAUCCAAUAACCUCUGCAAGAGUAAGAAGGGGAGUUUUUGAAACUCUGUUUCCUGAAUUGAGGGAUUAUCCUGAAAAAUUCUUUAACUACUUACGGAUGACGGUAGAAAGUUUUGACAAGACACCACUUUCCGUCGCUGUGUUUCCCCAGCAGAACGCCUAUUGUUGACCAUAAGGUGCGGUAGAUGGGAAACAUAUUCGUAUUAUCAAGCCCCACGGAACCGGAUCAGAGUAUUUCAAUUGCAAGAAAUAUUUUUCAAUAAUACUAAUGGCCAUCACAGAUGCUCAAUAUCGUUUUGUUGCAGUGGACGUAGGGGCCUAUGGACGCGCCAACGAUUCCAUGGUAUUUAAAAAUUCAAAUAUGGGUCGUAGUCUAUAUAACGGACAAUUCGAUUUUACUCUCCCUCAACCACUGCCAGGUACUGAUGGCCCACCCAUGCCGUUUGUAUUGGUUGGUGAUUAGGCCUUCCAAAUGUGUGGAAAUCUAAUUAAACCAUAUUCCAGCCGCGGAUUAGAUUUAAAAAAACGCACAUACAACUACCGCUUAACCAGGGCUCGAAGAAUGGUUGAAUGCACAUUUGGAAUUUUGGUCACAAAAUGGAGGAUUUUCACUAAACCAAUUCAGAUGAAGGUUGAAUCGGUCGGCGAGGUUGUAAAGUCUGCUGUGGUGUUGCACAACUACCUCCUUCAAAAAGAACCACUCAAUUUGGAACAGGUACCGGAGGACAGCGAGAUCGCAAGCAUUGAAAGUUGUCGACAUCGGUCAACUGUAGCGGUUGCACGGAUGAGAGACCCGUUUGCGGAUUAUUUCUGCUCUGAAGCAGGAAGGGUGGACUGGCAGGACCGAUUUGCAUAAACAUUUUGGGAUUCAUUUUCAAAUAACCGUUAAUUUAUG